RNAcentral lists this unclassified non-coding RNA (298 nucleotides) under plant metagenome. RNAcentral's name for it is "partial contains 5.8S ribosomal RNA, internal transcribed spacer 2, and large subunit ribosomal RNA". The stretch from base 1 to 105 matches the Rfam family "5.8S ribosomal RNA", at positions 50 to 154 of the family's 154-position model. The record is from RNAcentral.
GAAAUGCGAUAAGUAAUGUGAAUUGCAGAAUUCAGUGAAUCAUCGAAUCUUUGAACGCACAUUGCGCCCCCUGGUAUUCCGGGGGGCAUGCCUGUUCGAGCGUCAUUUCACCACUCAAGCCUCGCUUGGUAUUGGGCAACGCGGUCCGUCGCGUGCCUCAAAUCGACCGGCUGGGUCUUCUGUCCCCUAAGCGUUGUGGAAACUAUUCGCUAAAGGGUGUUCGGGAGGCUACGCCGUAAAACAACCCCAUUUCUAAGGUUGACCUCGGAUCAGGUAGGGAUACCCGCUGAACUUAAGC